GCAGGUUAAAAUCGACCAACAUGACACAAUGAAAGAUCUAUCAUAAGGUAAGUGGUGAUAGUUUAAUAAUUAAGAUUAUUAUAUGCAUCGGUUAUUAAGAUCAUCACACAUGAAAUAAAUGGUGAUAGUUUAGUGUCAAUAGUGAUAGUUUUAAUCCUUCUAAAAGUAAUACCCAUGAAGUUUUCUUCAUUCAAGGAUCCCAGGACCACUUGAUCAAGCUAAAUGCUUUAUGAUUUAUAUAUGUUCCUAUAAGAUCAAUAUUUUCUUUAUCAGUGUGUAAUCUUCAUUUUCAAAGGAUUGUUUUAAAAAAAAUACCAACGAUUUUGACUUUCUCUUGCUUUAAAGAGAAAUUUAUAUUUUCAUACAAAAAAACUUAUAACUAAAUUAAGAGAAUGAAUAAACGGCAAUGUAAAUUUAUAAAAUAGCCGUUCAAAUAAGGUACUAAUUUUAAUUUAUGAAUAUAUAUGUAUAAUUUUUUAUUUAUUUAAAAUAUAAUUAAUGACAUUGAUCAUUAAGGUACUAAUUUUAAUUUUUAAUUCUAUUUUAUAUGCAGAUUCAUUUGGUAGAAUGAUGAUGGUCUCAUCUAAGGCACAAAUUCAAGACACUGAAUAGUAGUCCUUUACCUUCUUUUUUUUUUAGUUGUGUUUUUCAAUUUGCUACUUAUACAUUUUAGAGAUUUAUGUUCAACUGUUGCAAUAUAAUGUAACUUGAUUAAUGAUGUAGACAUAUAUAACUUUUCUUUAAUUUCAAUGCUUUUGUCGAAUGCAUUAUUUAUGAUAAUUUUUU
RNAcentral lists this long non-coding RNA (786 nucleotides) under Trifolium pratense (red clover). Its description in RNAcentral is "long non-coding RNA (TPRA_LNC004294)". The record is from RNAcentral. Lineage: Eukaryota; Viridiplantae; Streptophyta; Magnoliopsida; Fabales; Fabaceae.